Molecule: transfer RNA, 82 nt
Filed under: hydrocarbon metagenome
Description: tRNA-Leu
Rfam family: tRNA
About the family: Transfer RNA (tRNA) molecules are approximately 80 nucleotides in length. Their secondary structure includes four short double-helical elements and three loops (D, anti-codon, and T loops).
Source: RNAcentral
GCCCGAGUGGUGGAAUGGCAGACACAGUUGACUCAAAAUCAACCGUCCUCAGGACGUGGAGGUUCGAAUCCUCUCUCGGGCA